UAUAAUUCAAAAAAGUAAUCCUGAGAUGGCUGUAGCAACUGUAGCUGCAAAACUAGGAUUCUUCGACAACGAAGACGCCAUUUGUUCGACUAAAUAUUGUUGUUGCACUGAAUUUGUGUUGAUGUCUUUCAUGAAUUUGUUCAAAAAUGUUGGAUCUGUUGUAUUCACUAAUGGCACUGUUAUUUCAGCUUGAGGUGGUUGGGGAUGAUUGUGUUCCCCUUCAUAUGUAGCUACUAAAAUUGAUGCAUCUUUAACACUUCUUUGUACCUUUUUCUUGACUGGACAUGAUGGUGCAAAUGAACACUUAAAAUAGGCUCUUGGAGAAGGAUUAUCUCUUGUCACUUUUUGACCAUAUUUUCUCCAAUUAUAUCCAUCUUUCACCACUGAAGUUUGAUCGGAGGGAUUAGUUUUAACACAAACAGUUGAAAUAUUAGUUGUGAUUUCUCUUGGCAUCUUUGGUGAUGCUUCUUCAAAAUUGAUGUAUGAAUUAUUCACACAAUAAUCUUCUUCAGCCUUUCUUUUUCUUGAUAAUAAUAAUUUAGAGUUGUCUUCUUCAUGAUUUGAGUAUUUUUGUUGCAACUCAAUUAUAUGAGUUUGCAAAGAAUUGUA
Molecule: unclassified non-coding RNA, 609 nt
Filed under: Hevea brasiliensis (rubber tree)
Lineage: Eukaryota; Viridiplantae; Streptophyta; Magnoliopsida; Malpighiales; Euphorbiaceae
Source: RNAcentral